CUUCCCAUUUAUUUGCUGCUAUCAUCUCUCCGUGAUAUGAGCAGUUAUACGCAUGGGAUACAAUAUUGUUGGGCCAUUGUCGACUGAGAUGAAGUAACUAUGUCAUCUCUUCUGCAUGGCCUGGACACUG
Molecule: small nucleolar RNA, 130 nt
Organism: Heterocephalus glaber (naked mole-rat)
Lineage: Eukaryota; Metazoa; Chordata; Mammalia; Rodentia; Bathyergidae
Source: Ensembl